RNAcentral lists this ribosomal RNA (440 nucleotides) under uncultured bacterium. Its description in RNAcentral is "partial 16S ribosomal RNA". It matches the Rfam family "Bacterial small subunit ribosomal RNA", at positions 338 to 795 of the family's 1533-position model. The record is from RNAcentral.
CCUACGGGAGGCAGCAGUAGGGAAUAUUGCUCAAUGGGGGAAACCCUGAAGCAGCAACGCCGCGUGGAGGAUGAAGGUUUUCGGAUUGUAAACUCCUUUUGUUAGAGAAGAUAAUGACGGUAUCUAACGGAUACGCACCGGCCAACACCGUGCUAGCAGCCGCGGUCAUACGGAGGGUGCAAGCGUUCCUCGGAAUCACUGGGCGUAAAGAGCGCGUAGGCGGGAUAGCAAGUCAGAUGUGAAAUCCUAGGGCUUAACCAUAGAACUGCAUUUGAAACUGUUAUUCUAGAGUAAUGGAGAGGUAGGUGGAAUUCUUGGUGUAGGGGUAAAAUCCGUAGAGAUCAAGAGGAACACUCAUGGCGAAGGCGAUCUGCUAGAACAUAACUGACGCUGAUGCGCGAAAGCGUGGGGAGCAAACAGGAUUAGAUACCCCAGUAGUC